GGCAGCAGUGGGGAAUAUUGCACAAUGGGCGGAAGCCUGAUGCAGCGACGCCGCGUGGGGGAUGACGGCCUUCGGGUUGUAAACUCCUUUCGAUAGGGACGAAGCUUUUGUGACGGUACCUAUAGAAGAAGCACCGGCUAACUACGUGCCAGCAGCCGCGGUAAUACGUAGGGUGCGAGCGUUGUCCGGAAUUACUGGGCGUAAAGAGCUCGUAGGUGGUUUGUCGCGUCGUCUGUGGAAGUCCGGGGCUUAACUCCGGGGGUGCAGGCGAUACGGGCAUAACUUGAGUGCUGUAGGGGAGACUGGAAUUCCUGGUGUAGCGGUGGAAUGCGCAGAUAUCAGGAGGAACACCGAUGGCGAAGGCAGGUCUCUGGGCAGUUACUGACGCUGAGGAGCGAAAGCAUGGGUAGCGAACAGGAUUAGAUACCCUGGUAGUCCAUGCUGUAAACGGUGGGCGCUAGGUGUAGGGAACUUCCACGUUUUCUGUGCCGUAGCUAACGCAUUAAGCGCCCCGCCUGGGGAGUACGGCCGCAAGGCUA
RNAcentral lists this ribosomal RNA (539 nucleotides) under uncultured Corynebacterium sp. RNAcentral describes it as "bacterial SSU rRNA". It matches the Rfam family "Bacterial small subunit ribosomal RNA", at positions 347 to 896 of the family's 1533-position model. Lineage: Bacteria; Bacillati; Actinomycetota; Actinomycetes; Mycobacteriales; Corynebacteriaceae. The record is from RNAcentral.